RNA transcript from Topomyia yanbarensis, 1438 nucleotides. It is a transcript of the gene named possible lysine-specific histone demethylase 1-like, with no coding region annotated. The transcript has 5 exons. Lineage: Eukaryota; Metazoa; Arthropoda; Insecta; Diptera; Culicidae. The record is from RefSeq and is a predicted model, not a curated record.
CCCAGUCAACAUGUCUGUGAUAAUAUUAUCGUGUAUUUUGUGCGCAAUAAAUAGUAUUUAAUCCGUUUUGUGUCGCUGUUAUGAGUAAUUAGUUUUCGCCCAGAAACGUCCUAAAUUUACUCUGCCGUACGGAUAAUACGACUCGCAAAUCCUGCCACCAGCGAGAACACCACAUUUGCGCGUUAAGGGCACCAGUAGCGGUGCGAGGUUUUUGCCACUCGGAGUAAACAGCAGCUGAUUGGCAUUCUUUGGCUGAUCCAUCUAGCAAAAAUAUCAUCUAUCCAGGAAACAUAUUCAAAACGAUUAGCUCCAUAAUGAGGACUGUGAUGAGGAAGCCCACGCUCGUCAAAGGAAAUAUUCAGUUCUUCCAGAAAUAUGACAUUUGACACAUGACAACUUAGGAAAACAACCUUUAGUGUUUUUAUACCGGUUACCGUUUGAUACUAAAACAAUGAACUUAGUGUAUGGUUCUGCAGAGUUUUAUUUUACAUGGGUGUUUGAAUGUGGAACUAGAACUGAAAUAGUUACAUCCCCAUUAAAUCGUUUUUCGCUCAUUUCAUUUCCAGAUCUGUAAUUUAGUCAAGUUUAUGUGUCCCUCCUAACGUUCGAAUCCGUUGACCGGUUCCAGAAUUAUUCAAAAUCACCGUGAGUUCGGCAUCCAAGUUGGGUGACGGAUGAGUUUUCAAGGAACAUCAUAAAUGCAAGACGAUGUAUAGCGGUACUGAAAAGUAUUUUCGGCAACUCAGCUGUCCCUCAACCGAAAGAAACAGUUGUUACACGGUGGCGGGCAGAUCCCUGGGCCCGUGGUUCAUAUAGCUUCGUUUCGGUUGGAUCAUCAGGUAGUGAUCACGAUCUAUUAGCCGCACCAGUGACACCCCGAUGUAGUAUCGAAACAAACACAGCAGGCAUCAAUGGGUCUUCCCAUUGUGGUAAUGGGAACAACGAUGAGGACGACAGUAAAGCAGACAUUCCACGGUUGUUUUUUGCCGGUGAACAUACGAUACGCAAUUACCCUGCCACAGUACAUGGGGCUUUACUAAGUGGCCUGAGAGAAGCUGGUCGGAUAGCAGACUACUAUUUGGGUUUCCCGAACACGUACCCAGACGCACCGAAAGAGGAACCGAAGAAAUAAUGCAUAUAGUGUUAACAGUUCAGCUUAAGAGACAUUCAAAAUUAUUGCCGACGAUCAAAAAACAUUUUGCACAUUAGUUUUUUCUUUGGAUUCAAUCAACCGAUGGCACACGUCAACGAGCUUUACCGUAAAUUAAUUGGAGAAACAAUAAAUUUAAAUUCAUUGAAAUUACAAGUUAAUUUAUUUAUUUCAUGCGAUAUUUAUAAAAUAGAUUGCACAUAUCGUCACUGUUGAUAAGCGCCAUUUCGAACAUUUCGAAAAACAAAUUUUGGGGUCAAAUUUCAGCAAAUCAAAAUUUGGUGUUGU